UACGAAGGGGGCUAGCGUUGCUCGGAAUUACUGGGCGUAAAGCGCACGUAGGCGGAUUGUUAAGUCGGGGGUGAAAUCCUGGAGCUCAACUCCAGAACUGCCUUCGAUACUGGCGAUCUCGAGUUCGGGAGAGGUGAGUGGAACUGCGAGUGUAGAGGUGAAAUUCGUAGAUAUUCGCAAGAACACCAGUGGCGAAGGCGGCUCACUGGCCCGAUACUGACGCUGAGGUGCGAAAGCGUGGGGAGAGAACAGG
This 253-nucleotide ribosomal RNA is filed under the name uncultured bacterium. Its description in RNAcentral is "partial 16S ribosomal RNA". It matches the Rfam family "Bacterial small subunit ribosomal RNA", at positions 524 to 776 of the family's 1533-position model. The record is from RNAcentral.